GGGGAAUUUUCCGCAAUGGGCGAAAGCCUGACGGAGCAAUACCGCGUGAGGGAGGAAGGUUUUUGGAUUGUAAACCUCUUUUUUAAAGGAAGAAGCAAGUGACGGUACUUUAAGAAUCAGCAUCGGCUAACUCCGUGCCAGCAGCCGCGGUAAUACGGAGGAUGCAAGCGUUAUCCGGAAUCAUUGGGCGUAAAGCGUCCGCAGGUGGCUGUUCAAGUCUGCUGUUAAAGACAGAAGCUCAACUUCUGAACAGCAGUGGAAACUGGACGGCUAGAGUACGGUAGGGGUUGAGGGAAUUCCCAGUGUAGCGGUGAAAUGCGUAGAUAUUGGGAAGAACACCAGUGGCGAAGGCGCUCAACUGGAUCGUAACUGACACUCAGGGACGAAAGCUAGGGUAGCGAAAGGGAUUAGAUACCCCUGUAGUCUUAGCUGUAAACGAUGAACACUAGGCGUUGCUUGUAUCGACCCGAGCAGUGCCGUAGCCAACGCGUUAAGUGUUCCGCCUGGGGAGUACGCACGCAAGUGUGAAACUCAAAGGAAUUGACGGGGGCCCGCACAAGCGGUGGAGUUUGUGGUUUAAUUCGAUGCAACGCGAAGAACCUUACCAGGACUUGACAUCUCGAGAACUGAACCUAAUAGUUCAGGUGCCUUAGGGAACUCGAAGACAGGUGGUGCAUGGCUGUCGUCAGCUCGUGUCGUGAGAUGUUGGGUUAAGUCCCGCAACGAGCGCAACCCUCGUUCUUAGUUGCCAGCAUUAAGUUGGGCACUUUAGGAAGACUGCCGGUGACAAACCGGAGGAAGGUGGGGAUGACGUCAAGUCAGCAUGCCCCUUACGUUCUGGGCUACACACGUACUACAAUGGUUGGGACAAAGGGCAGCGAGCUCGCAAGAGUCAGCGAAUCUCAUCAAACCCAGCCUCAGUUCAGAUUGCAGGCUGCAACUCGCCUGCAUGAAGGAGGAAUCGCUAGUAAUCGCAGGUCAGCAUACUGCGGUGAAUUCGUUCCCGGGCCUUGUACACACCGCCCGUCACACCAUGGAAGUUGGCCACGCCCGAAGUCGUUACCCUAACCCUGUAUAGGGAGGGGGAUGCCGAAGGCAGGGCUGGUGACUAGGGUGAAGUCGUAACAAGGUAGCCGUACCGGAAGGUGUGGCUGGAUCACCUCCUU
This 1166-nucleotide ribosomal RNA is filed under the name Pleurocapsales cyanobacterium ATA3-4Q-KO6. Its description in RNAcentral is "bacterial SSU rRNA". It matches the Rfam family "Bacterial small subunit ribosomal RNA", at positions 356 to 1532 of the family's 1533-position model. Lineage: Bacteria; Bacillati; Cyanobacteriota; Cyanophyceae; Pleurocapsales. The record is from RNAcentral.